GAUGAACGCUAGCGGCAGGCUUAACACAUGCAAGUCGAGGGGCAUCGGGAGGGAAGCUUGCUUUCCUUGCCGGCGACCGGCGCACGGGUGAGUAACACGUAUGCAACCUGCCCUCUUCAGGGGGACAACCUUCCGAAAGGGAGGCUAAUCCCGCGUAUAUCGGUUUCGGGCAUCCGAGAUCGAGGAAAGAUUCAUCGGAAGAGGAUGGGCAUGCGGCGCAUUAGCUUGACGGCGGGGUAACGGCCCACCGUGGCGACGAUGCGUAGGGGUUCUGAGAGGAAGGUCCCCCACACUGGUACUGAGACACGGACCAGACUCCUACGGGAGGCAGCAGUGAGGAAUAUUGGUCAAUGGGAGAGAUCCUGAACCAGCCAAGCCGCGUGAGGGAAGACGGCCCUAUGGGUUGUAAACCUCUUUUGUCGGAGAACAAAACCCGGGACGUGUCCCGGACUGCGUGUAUCCGAAGAAAAAGCAUCGGCUAACUCCGUGCCAGCAGCCGCGGUAAUACGGAGGAUGCGAGCGUUAUCCGGAUUUAUUGGGUUUAAAGGGUGCGUAGGCGGUCCGUUAAGUCAGCGGUAAAAUUGCGGGGCUCAACCCCGUCGAGCCGUUGAAACUGGCAGACUUGAGUUGGCGAGAAGUACGCGGAAUGCGCGGUGUAGCGGUGAAAUGCAUAGAUAUCGCGCAGAACUCCGAUUGCGAAGGCAGCGUACCGGCGCCAGACUGACGCUGAGGCACGAAAGCGUGGGGAUCGAACAGGAUUAGAUACCCUGGUAGUCCACGCAGUAAACGAUGAAUGCUGGUUGUCCGGGUCGAAUGAGAUCUGGGCGGCGAAGCGAAAGCGAUAAGCAUUCCACCUGGGGAGUACGCCGGCAACGGUGAAACUCAAAGGAAUUGACGGGGGCCCGCACAAGCGGAGGAACAUGUGGUUUAAUUCGAUGAUACGCGAGGAACCUUACCCGGGCUCAAACGGGAGUGGAAUGGACCAGAGACGGUUCAGCCUACGGGCCGCUUCCGAGGUGCUGCAUGGUUGUCGUCAGCUCGUGCCGUGAGGUGUCGGCUUAAGUGCCAUAACGAGCGCAACCCCCGCCGGCAGUUGCUAACGGGCAAUGCCGAGGACUCUGCCGGGACUGCCGCCGCAAGGCGAGAGGAAGGCGGGGAUGACGUCAAAUCAGCACGGCCCUUACGUCCGGGGCGACACACGUGUUACAAUGGGCGGUACAGCGGGAAGCCAGGCGGCGACGCCGAGCGGAACCCGAAAGCCGUUCUCAGUUCGGAUCGGAGUCUGCAACCCGACUCCGUGAAGCUGGAUUCGCUAGUAAUCGCGCAUCAGCCAUGGCGCGGUGAAUACGUUCCCGGGCCUUGUACACACCGCCCGUCAAGCCAUGGGAGCCGGGGGUGCUUGAAGUGCGUCGCCGCGAGGCGCGCCCUAGAGCAAAACCGGUGACUGGGGCUAAGUCGUAACAAGGUAGCCGUACCGGAAGGUGCGGCUGGAACACCUCCUUUCUGGAGACCUUUAGCGUCUGAAUCGCAAGUUUGUCUUGUGGGAAAAAUAUAAGGAUAAGAAGUCUGAACGCUUCUUAUCUUACUAUCAGAAUAGGACAAUGACAAGGCUGGAAGCGAGAGUCGAUGAAAAAGUCGGCUCAGCGAGAAGACAAGAGUAGAAACACAACAAAAAGUUUCACGAGCAAAUCGAAAGGCGACAAUGUCGAACUUAGUUUCGUACAUAUAUAUAUAUGCCGCAAGGCAUAAAAGAAAUAACGGAACGAACAAGGGCGCAUGGGGGAUGCCUUGGCUCUCGGAGGCGAAGAAGGACGUGACAAGCUGCGAAAAGCUGCGGCGAGUGGCAAAUACACCGUGACCCGCAGAUAUCCGAAUGGGGCAACCCGUAGGGAGCGAUCCCUACAUCAGUCGGAACGACUGAGGCGAACGUGGGGAACUGAAACAUCUUAGUACCCGCAGGAAGAGAAAGUAACAACGAUUCUCCCAGUAGCGGCGAGCGAACGGGGAAGAGCCCAAACCGGCGGCGUUUCGGCGCGUGCCGGGGUUAUAGGACCGCUCAAAGGCGCAUGCGAGCGUAGCGGAAGGAGAUGGAAUGCUCCCCCGCAGACGGUGAGAGGCCGGUACGCGAAACGCAGACAUGCCAGGAGCGGCACCUGAGUAGGGCGGGACACGAGAAAUCCCGUCUGAAUUAUCGGGGACCAUCCCGAAAGGCUAAAUACUACCGAGAGACCGAUAGCGAACC
Molecule: ribosomal RNA, 2242 nt
Filed under: uncultured Muribaculum sp.
Lineage: Bacteria; Pseudomonadati; Bacteroidota; Bacteroidia; Bacteroidales; Muribaculaceae
Description: partial contains 16S ribosomal RNA, 16S-23S ribosomal RNA intergenic spacer, and 23S ribosomal RNA
Rfam family: Bacterial small subunit ribosomal RNA (bases 1-1503)
Source: RNAcentral